Molecule: ribosomal RNA, 301 nt
Filed under: uncultured bacterium
Lineage: Bacteria
Description: partial 16S ribosomal RNA
Rfam family: Bacterial small subunit ribosomal RNA
Source: RNAcentral
CAGUAGCCGCGGUAAUACGAAGGGGGCUAGCGUUGUUCGGAAUUACUGGGCGUAAAGCGCAUGUAGGCGGAUUUUUAAGUCAGGGGUGAAAUCCCGAGGCUCAACCUCGGAACUGCCUUUGAUACUGGAGAUCUUGAGUUCGGAAGAGGUUGGUGGAACAGCUAGUGUAGAGGUGAAAUUCGUAGAUAUUAGCUAGAACACCAGUGGCGAAGGCGGCCAACUGGUCCGAUACUGACGCUGAGGUGCGAAAGCGUGGGGAGCAAACAGGAUUAGAUACCCCCGUAGUCCCUGUCUCUUAUAC